CCAACAAAAGAAAACCGUUGGAGAAGAAAAGAUCAGUCACCCACCACGUGUUCUAACGCUAGCGUUUGAGAAACACGCGUCAAGAUAAGGAUCCACCAUCUUCCUCGGGUGUUAGAAAGGAGCCACGACGACGGAGCUCCAGAAGACUAACCGGAGAAGAAGCCAUUCAAAUAAAACAGCCCUAACCCAAUCAAAAUCGAAAAUUCUAAUCCGACGGAUCAAUCGUUUCAGUAAAGAUAACUUAACUGCCUACAACCGACCU
This 262-nucleotide long non-coding RNA is filed under the name Brassica napus (rape). RNAcentral's name for it is "long non-coding RNA (BNAP_LNC002877)". Lineage: Eukaryota; Viridiplantae; Streptophyta; Magnoliopsida; Brassicales; Brassicaceae. The record is from RNAcentral.